This 529-nucleotide ribosomal RNA is filed under the name Candida albicans. Its description in RNAcentral is "LSU rRNA". It matches the Rfam family "Eukaryotic large subunit ribosomal RNA", at positions 84 to 628 of the family's 3401-position model. Lineage: Eukaryota; Fungi; Ascomycota; Pichiomycetes; Serinales; Debaryomycetaceae. The record is from RNAcentral.
UAGCGGCGAGUGAAGCGGCAAAAGCUCAAAUUUGAAAUCUGGCGUCUUUGGCGUUCUCGAGUUGUAAUUUGAAGAAGGUAUCUUUGGGCCCGGCUCUUGUCUAUGUUCCUUGGAACAGGACGUCACAGAGGGUGAGAAUCCCGUGCGAUGAGAUGACCCGGGUCUGUGUAAAGUUCCUUCGACGAGUCGAGUUGUUUGGGAAUGCAGCUCUAAGUGGGUGGUAAAUUCCAUCUAAAGCUAAAUAUUGGCGAGAGACCGAUAGCGAACAAGUACAGUGAUGGAAAGAUGAAAAGAACUUUGAAAAGAGAGUGAAAAAGUACGUGAAAUUGUUGAAAGGGAAGGGCUUGAGAUCAGACUUGGUAUUUUGCAUGCUGCUCUCUCGGGGGCGGCCGCUGCGGUUUACCGGGCCAGCAUCGGUUUGGAGCGGCAGGAUAAUGGCGGAGGAAUGUGGCACGGCUUCUGCUGUGUGUUAUAGCCUCUGACGAUACUGCCAGCCUAGACCGAGGACUGCGGUUUUUACCUAGGAUGU